RNAcentral lists this long non-coding RNA (806 nucleotides) under Chinchilla lanigera (long-tailed chinchilla). RNAcentral describes it as "lncRNA (ENSCLAG00000026074.1)". Lineage: Eukaryota; Metazoa; Chordata; Mammalia; Rodentia; Chinchillidae. The record is from RNAcentral.
CUGGCUCACCCAUGGUCACACCUCUAGGCUUGGGAGCCUCAGUCUCCUGUCCUCCGAAUGUGGCAAACAGCAGCCAAGUGGCAGAAGGUCUCUGUGUGUAUGGUGUUGAAUGAAAUCCUCCCGUAUUUACGGAAAGUGCCUCUUCUGCUGGAGUGAGCAACUGUUAUGACGGUGUUGAAUGGAUCGAAGAAAAGGUAGUUUUCUCACACGAGCUGUCGCAGAGCAACUCCUCCUUCUUCCUGCACAUCUGCCUGAAGCGGCAUCCUCAAGGAAUUGCCCCAUGCUCAGUCAAGGACAGACUUUGCCAUCGUUUGGGUUCAGAAUGUACUUCAGAGGCCCAUGUACUGAGGACACGGUCCUCAGCUUGACCUUACCAGGAUGUAACCCAACCUUCAUGAGGUGGACCCUGCUGGAAGAUUUUAAGUGACUGUAGGAUUCUGGGCUCUUCCUUUUUCUGUCUUUGCUUCCCAGCCCCGACACAGUGAGCCGCUCACUGCACCGUGCACACCACCUGUGAUGUGCUGCCUCUGACUGUGACAGUAAGGAGAAAUGACUAGCUCGGACUCGCUUGGCUUUCACUGUGGAUUUCUGUCACAUGUGAUGUUCACAGUGACCAAUCCUCAGGCAGUGCGUACUAUGUUUACACAUGUUCAUGGUACAAAAUUGAGAACAGAAAUAAUUUACGUUUACUUCUCAGAAAGGACACUAGAUUUCAUAAUAAAAACCCCUAAAUAAUAUGGAUGCACUUGGUGGUGUCUAUAGACAAAGGCAAACUUAUCUGGUAACCUAAUCCUGAUAAGUUAUCC